Molecule: long non-coding RNA, 647 nt
Organism: Argentina anserina (silverweed cinquefoil)
Lineage: Eukaryota; Viridiplantae; Streptophyta; Magnoliopsida; Rosales; Rosaceae
Exons: 4
Source: RefSeq, a predicted model, not a curated record
CUCCUCUUCUCUCUCUCUCAAUCCUGCUGCGCUGCUUCGUCGAUCCAAAAUCUUGGGUUGAAAGAGAGGGACACAGGGUGAUGGACUGAUCAAUUGGUACAAGUAGAAUUAAUCCAGAACCGAAAAUUGGAAGGCCUCCUAAAGUAGUAAGCUCAAGUUUGCAGGCUCCAAACCAUCAGAAACUAAUUAAGACAUCAACAGUAGAACAUCAUCAUCCACCUUUGGGUAAUCAGAUGCAGCUCCCCCCUUGAGACAAACUGUAGAUGCCCAACAACAACCUGAACAGCAGCGGCAGUUAUCAAAGGUUGGGAUGUAACAUGACUAAGCGACUUGUUUAAUUACCAAGUUUGGUGAUCCAUAAUUUCUUGAGUAUGUUGAAUGUACAUGAGAUGUUAAGCUACUGAUGCUAGUUAGCCAUGAAGAACUCACAGUCAUGCCACCUGAGAUGUUCAGCUACUGAUGCUAGUAAGCCGAGAAGAACUUGCAGUCAGUCUAUACAUUCAGACAGUUUAUAGAAAUACACCAGUUUAUUCUUGUUCAUCCUAAAUUUUAUGGCAAGGAGCUCAAGCUAUUGUGUAGAUAUAUUUGUUCACAACCUAAAACUAAUGCAAUUCAUGAUUUAGAUGUAUAUGCAUUGAUUUGUUAUA